GAUGAACGCUGGCGGCGUGCCUAAUACAUGCAAGUCGAGCGAACCACUUCGGUGGUGAGCGGCGAACGGGUGAGUAACACGUAGGUGAUCUGCCCAUCAGACGGGGACAACGAUUGGAAACGAUCGCUAAUACCGGAUAGGACGAAAGUUUAAAGGUGCUUCUGGCACCGCUGAUGGAUGAGCCUGCGGCGCAUUAGCUAGUUGGUAGGGUAAAGGCCUACCAAGGCGACGAUGCGUAGCCGACCUGAGAGGGUGAACGGCCACACUGGGACUGAGACACGGCCCAGACUCCUACGGGAGGCAGCAGUAGGGAAUCUUCGGCGAUGGGCGAAAGCCUGACCGAGCAACGCCGCGUGAAUGAUGAAGGCCUUCGGGUUGUAAAAUUCUGUUAUAAGGGAAGAACGACUUUAGUAGGAAAUGGCUAGAGUGUGACGGUACCUUAUGAGAAAGCCACGGCUAACUACGUGCCAGCAGCCGCAGUAA
This 483-nucleotide ribosomal RNA is filed under the name uncultured bacterium. Its description in RNAcentral is "partial 16S ribosomal RNA". It matches the Rfam family "Bacterial small subunit ribosomal RNA", at positions 28 to 523 of the family's 1533-position model. The record is from RNAcentral.